AGUGAACGCUGGCGGUAGGCCUAACACAUGCAAGUCGAACGGCAGCACAGUAAGAGAUUGCCGUUCCGGGUGGCGAGUGGCGGACGGGUGCGGAAUACAUCGGAACCUACAUUUUCGUGGGGGAUAACGAAGGGAAACUUACGGUAGCACCGCAUACGACCUGCGGGUGAAAGCAGGGGCUCUUCGGGGCCUGCGCGAUUGGGGGGGCCGGUGUCGGAUCAGCUAGUUGGUGGGGUAGAGGCCCACCAAGGCGACGAUCCGGAGCUGGUCCGAGAGGCGGAUCGGCCAAACUGGGACUGAGCCACGGCCAAGACUCCUGCGGGAGGCAGCAGUGGGGAAUUUUCCGCAAUGGGCGAAAGCCUGACGGAGCAAUGCGGCGUGGAGGUAGAAGGCCCACGGGUCGUGAACUUCUUUUCUCGGAGAAGAAACAAUGACGGUAUCUGAGGAAUAAGCAUCGGCUAACUCUGUG
Molecule: ribosomal RNA, 469 nt
Filed under: uncultured bacterium
Lineage: Bacteria
Description: partial 16S ribosomal RNA
Rfam family: Bacterial small subunit ribosomal RNA
Source: RNAcentral